RNAcentral lists this ribosomal RNA (890 nucleotides) under Escherichia coli. RNAcentral describes it as "bacterial SSU rRNA". It matches the Rfam family "Bacterial small subunit ribosomal RNA", at positions 655 to 1533 of the family's 1533-position model. The record is from RNAcentral. Lineage: Bacteria; Pseudomonadati; Pseudomonadota; Gammaproteobacteria; Enterobacterales; Enterobacteriaceae.
AGGGGGGUAGAAUUCCAGGUGUAGCGGUGAAAUGCGUAGAGAUCUGGAGGAAUACCGGUGGCGAAGGCGGCCCCCUGGACGAAGACUGACGCUCAGGUGCGAAAGCGUGGGGAGCAAACAGGAUUAGAUACCCUGGUAGUCCACGCCGUAAACGAUGUCGACUUGGAGGUUGUGCCCUUGAGGCGUGGCUUCCGGAGCUAACGCGUUAAGUCGACCGCCUGGGGAGUACGGCCGCAAGGUUAAAACUCAAAUGAAUUGACGGGGGCCCGCACAAGCGGUGGAGCAUGUGGUUUAAUUCGAUGCAACGCGAAGAACCUUACCUGGUCUUGACAUCCACGGAAGUUUUCAGAGAUGAGAAUGUGCCUUCGGGAACCGUGAGACAGGUGCUGCAUGGCUGUCGUCAGCUCGUGUUGUGAAAUGUUGGGUUAAGUCCCGCAACGAGCGCAACCCUUAUCCUUUGUUGCCAGCGGUCCGGCCGGGAACUCAAAGGAGACUGCCAGUGAUAAACUGGAGGAAGGUGGGGAUGACGUCAAGUCAUCAUGGCCCUUACGACCAGGGCUACACACGUGCUACAAUGGCGCAUACAAAGAGAAGCGACCUCGCGAGAGCAAGCGGACCUCAUAAAGUGCGUCGUAGUCCGGAUUGGAGUCUGCAACUCGACUCCAUGAAGUCGGAAUCGCUAGUAAUCGUGGAUCAGAAUGCCACGGUGAAUACGUUCCCGGGCCUUGUACACACCGCCCGUCACACCAUGGGAGUGGGUUGCAAAAGAAGUAGGUAGCUUAACCUUCGGGAGGGCGCUUACCACUUUGUGAUUCAUGACUGGGGUGAAGUCGUAACAAGGUAACCGUAGGGGAACCUGCGGUUGGAUCACCUCCUUACCUUAAAGAAGC